This 463-nucleotide ribosomal RNA is filed under the name uncultured bacterium. RNAcentral's name for it is "partial 16S ribosomal RNA". It matches the Rfam family "Bacterial small subunit ribosomal RNA", at positions 28 to 507 of the family's 1533-position model. The record is from RNAcentral.
GACGAACGCUGGCGGCGUGCUUAACACAUGCAAGUCGAACGGUAAGGCCCUUCGGGGUACACGAGUGGCGAACGGGUGAGUAACGCGUGAGUAACCUGCCCUUCACUCUGGGAUAACAGUUGGAAACGGCUGCUAAUACCGGAUAUUCAGCUCCAGUCGCAUGGUGGGGGUUGGAAAGUUUUGGUGGUGGAGGAUGGGCUCGCGUCCUAUCAGCUUGUUGGUGGGGUGAUGGCCUACCAAGGCGUCGACGGGUAGCCGGCCUGAGAGGGCGACCGGCCACAUUGGGACUGAGAUACGGCCAGAACUCCUACGGGAGGCAGCAGUGGGGAAUAUUGCACAAUGGGCGGAAGCCUGAUGCAGCAACGCCGCGUGCGGGAUGACGGCCUUCGGGUUGUAAACCGCUUUCAGCAGGGACGAAGCGCAAGUGACGGUACCUGCAGAAGAAGCACCGGCUAACUACGUG